Molecule: long non-coding RNA, 703 nt
Filed under: Equus caballus (horse)
Lineage: Eukaryota; Metazoa; Chordata; Mammalia; Perissodactyla; Equidae
Description: lncRNA (ENSECAG00000057077.1)
Source: RNAcentral
UGACUUUAGUGAAAUCCUCUCCAGUCAAAAACACCAGGUUAUACAAUGAGUUGACGACAAAGUUGGGAAAGCAUUGAAGAAAUUUGUAGAGAAGGAAGCAAAGGUGAGAGAGAAAGAUGAUUGCAAUGGAAAGGAAGGUGUCUGGCAAAGGAGGGACCAAUUCUUCAUAUUAUUUGGCAAAGAGAACUUCUCAAAAACCUGCCUGAAGGAGCAGCUUGAUCUGAAGAGCAUUUUAGAAAGAGCCCUUGGCUGCAGCGUGGAGAACAGACUGGACACCAGCUAACCGCCCCAAACCACCAACAUCCCAAGAAGUCAGUAAGGACAAGAAUAUCCUGUUGUGAGGACUGGUGGAACUGGACUUUGCUGGGGACCAACUCGCUAACCCAUCAAUGAAGUACGAGUCUAGUCUUUUGCCUGAUGACUGAAUCUCAAGCCCGUCUAUGAAGGGCAAACCCAGCCUCACCUCAUCCAGCACCAAUGAACUCUUCCUUAAUACAACUCACCUCCUCCUCCCCCUUUCCCAUAAAAACCAUAAGCCCCUCUCCUGUAAUCGGGACACUAUUUGAGCUUCUAGCUGAAUCUGUGUCUCUUGAAUUGCAAUUCUAAUUCCUCACAGAAAUUUCUGUUGUUUGAAUUGUAGUGGAUUUUUCCUCUGUCGACACUUUCUGGCUGUGUGACAUGGGCAACUCAAUUAACCUCUCUG